RNAcentral lists this ribosomal RNA (570 nucleotides) under uncultured bacterium. RNAcentral's name for it is "partial 16S ribosomal RNA". It matches the Rfam family "Bacterial small subunit ribosomal RNA", at positions 355 to 918 of the family's 1533-position model. The record is from RNAcentral.
UGGGGAAUUUUGGACAAUGGGCGCAAGCCUGAUCCAGCCAUGCCGCGUGCGGGAAGAAGGCCUUCGGGUUGUAAACCGCUUUUGUCAGGGAAGAAAUCUUCUGAGUUAAUACCUCGGGAGGAUGACGGUACCUGAAGAAUAAGCACCGGCUAACUACGUGCCAGCAGCCGCGGUAAUACGUAGGGUGCAAGCGUUAAUCGGAAUUACUGGGCGUAAAGCGUGCGCAGGCGGUUUUGUAAGACAGAGGUGAAAUCCCCGGGCUCAACCUGGGAACUGCCUUUGUGACUGCAAGGCUUGAGUGCGGCAGAGGGGGAUGGAAUUCCGCGUGUAGCAGCGAAAUGCGUAGAUAUGCGGAGGAACACCGAUGGCGAAGGCAAUCCCCUGGGCCUGCACUGACGCUCAUGCACGAAAGCGUGGGGAGCAAACAGGAUUAGAUACCCUGGUAGUCCACGCCCUAAACGAUGUCAACUGGUUGUUGGGAAGGUUCCUUCUCAGUAACGUAGCUAACGCGUGAAGUUGACCGCCUGGGGAGUACGGCCGCAAGGUUGAAACUCAAAUGAAUUGACGGGG